This 501-nucleotide ribosomal RNA is filed under the name uncultured bacterium. RNAcentral's name for it is "bacterial SSU rRNA". It matches the Rfam family "Bacterial small subunit ribosomal RNA", at positions 8 to 518 of the family's 1533-position model. The record is from RNAcentral.
AGAGUUUGAUCCUGGCUCAGGAUGAACGCUGGCGGCGUGCUUAACACGUGCAAGUCGAACGGAGUUUAGAUGAAAGCUUGCUUUGACUAAACUUAGUGGCGGACGGGUGAGUAACGCGUGGGUAACCUGCCUUAUACAGGGGGAUAACAGUCGGAAACGACUGCUAAUACCGCAUAAGCGCACGGAAUCGCAUGAUUCAGUGUGAAAAGAUUUAUCGGUAUAAGAUGGACCCGCGUCUGAUUAGCUAGUUGGUGAGGUAACGGCCCACCAAGGCGACGAUCAGUAGCCGGCCUGAGAGGGUGAACGGCCACAUUGGGACUGAGACACGGCCCAAACUCCUACGGGAGGCAGCAGUGGGGAAUAUUGCACAAUGGGGGAAACCCUGAUGCAAGCGACGCCGCGUGAGUGAAGAAGUAUUUCGGUAUGUAAAGCUCUAUCAGCAGGGAAGAAAAUGACGGUACCUGACUAAGAAGCCCCGGCUAACUACGUGCCAGCCGCUGC